Molecule: ribosomal RNA, 1372 nt
Filed under: uncultured bacterium
Lineage: Bacteria
Description: bacterial SSU rRNA
Rfam family: Bacterial small subunit ribosomal RNA
Source: RNAcentral
GAUGAACGCUGGCGGCGUGCCUAAUACAUGCAAGUCGAGCGAACGGACGAGAAGCUUGCUUCUCUGAUGUUAGCGGCGGACGGGUGAGUAACACGUGGAUAACCUACCUAUAAGACUGGGAUAACUUCGGGAAACCGGAGCUAAUACCGGAUGAUAUUUUGAACCGCAUGGUUCAAAAGUGAAAGACGGUCUUGCUGUCACUUAUAGAUGGAUCCGCGCUGCAUUAGCUAGUUGGUAAGGUAACGGCUUACCAAGGCAACGAUGCAUAGCCGACCUGAGAGGGUGAUCGGCCACACUGGAACUGAGACACGGUCCAGACUCCUACGGGAGGCAGCAGUAGGGAAUCUUCCGCAAUGGGCGAAAGCCUGACGGAGCAACGCCGCGUGAGUGAUGAAGGUCUUCGGAUCGUAAAACUCUGUUAUUAGGGAAGAACAUAUGUGUAAGUAACUGUGCACAUCUUGACGGUACCUAAUCAGAAAGCCACGGCUAACUACGUGCCGGCAGCCGCGGUAAUACGUAGGUGGCAAGCGUUAUCCGGAAUUAUUGGGCGCAAAGCGCGCGUAGGCGGUUUUUUAAGUCUGAUGUGAAAGCCCACGGCUCAACCGUGGAGGGUCAUUGGAAACUGGAAAACUUGAGUGCAGAAGAGGAAAGUGGAAUUCCAUGUGUAGCGGUGAAAUGCGCAGAGAUAUGGAGGAACACCAGUGGCGAAGGCGACUUUCUGGUCUGUAACUGACGCUGAUGUGCGAAAGCGUGGGGAUCAAACAGGAUUAGAUACCCUGGUAGUCCACGCCGUAAACGAUGAGUGCUAAGUGUUAGGGGGUUUCCGCCCCUUAGUGCUGCAGCUAACGCAUUAAGCACUCCGCCUGGGGAGUACGACCGCAAGGUUGAAACUCAAAGGAAUUGACGGGGACCCGCACAAGCGGUGGAGCAUGUGGUUUAAUUCGAAGCAACGCGAAGAACCUUACCAAAUCUUGACAUCCUUUGACAACUCUAGAGAUAGAGCCUUCCCCUUCGGGGGACAAAGUGACAGGUGGUGCAUGGUUGUCGUCAGCUCGUGUCGUGAGAUGUUGGGUUAAGUCCCGCAACGAGCGCAACCCUUAAGCUUAGUUGCCAUCAUUAAGUUGGGCACUCUAAGUUGACUGCCGGUGACAAACCGGAGGAAGGUGGGGAUGACGUCAAAUCAUCAUGCCCCUUAUGAUUUGGGCUACACACGUGCUACAAUGGACAAUACAAAGGGCAGCGAAACCGCGAGGUCAAGCAAAUCCCAUAAAGUUGUUCUCAGUUCGGAUUGUAGUCUGCAACUCGACUACAUGAAGCUGGAAUCGCUAGUAAUCGUAGAUCAGCAUGCUACGGUGAAUACGUUCCCGGGUCU